AUUGAACGCUGGCGGCAUACUUAACACAUGCAAGUCGAACGGCAGCAUGACAUAAUUUCGGUUAUGUUGAUGGCGAGUGGCGAACGGGUGAGUAACGCGUAGGAAUAUACCCUGAAGGGUGGGAUAACUUGGGGAAACUCAAGCUAAUACCGCAUAAUCUCUGAGGAGGAAAGCUGGGGACCGUAAGGCCUGGCGCUUUAGGAUUAGCCUGCGUCCGAUUAGCUAGUUGGUGGGGUAAAGGCCUACCAAGGCGACGAUCGGUAGCUGGUCUGAGAGGAUGAUCAGCCACAAUGGGACUGAGACACGGCCCAGACUCCUACGGGAGGCAGCAGUGGGGAAUAUUGGACAAUGGGGGCAACCCUGAUCCAGCAAUGCCGCGUGUGUGAAGAAGGCCUGAGGGUUGUAAAGCACUUUAGUUGGGGAGGAUGGUAGACUAGGUUAAGAGCUAGGUUUAUUGACGUUACCCAAAGAAUAAGCACCGGCUAACUCCGUGCCAGCCGCCGCCGUAA
RNAcentral lists this ribosomal RNA (509 nucleotides) under uncultured bacterium. RNAcentral describes it as "partial 16S ribosomal RNA". It matches the Rfam family "Bacterial small subunit ribosomal RNA", at positions 30 to 523 of the family's 1533-position model. The record is from RNAcentral.